AUCAUAUAUACAAUUUUUUUUAAAUUAAUGGACACCCUGUAAAUUUAUUUAAAGUUUCUCUAUUUAGAGCACUGUAUCUGUAGCCAAUAAAUGAAUUGACACCAAAAUUUGCAUGCAGACUAUGCAAAGGAUGCAGGAAGUGAUUUUGCAAAAAAAAUUUAAACACAUAAAUUUAAGAAUAAUUUUUAAAAUAGGACAAAGUUAGACUUUUAGGCACUGUCUAAUUUCAUUGUGUGUGCAAAAAGGACAAAGAAGACACUUUUAUGUAUUGUCAAAAUAGACAAUAUUAAAUUCUUUUAUAUAUUGUCUAUUUUGACAAUACAUAAAAGAAUUUAAAAAUUUUUCUUAAAUUUAUAUGUUUAAAUUUAUUUGACCUGGUAAUUUUUAUCAGAAAAGUUUAGUUUAAAAACUUCCAUAUAUUUUCCUUUAAAGCACACCUUAUGGAAAAAAAAACACAAGACAAAUCUAUUUAUUUGUUCCACAAGGAACAUGCCCAGAAUCUACUAAUGAAUCUAAAGACUCCAUCAAUGGCUGAGACUUAGGCAGGACCUUCGGAUCCUCUAUACUUGUCGCUAGGCCCCCAACAUGUCAAGACCAGUUUCCUACCUUGGAGAACAUGGACGGGCUGUCAGAUUGUCUAUGAUAAUCUCAUGACAUUGCAUGACCAUUGUGCACUCGGAUAUACACUCAAAGCCUAUAGUCGUCAGAUGAGCAUGAAAAAUGAUGAAUAUGUUAACGUUAUUUCAAGGGAAUACCGGGUCAGCAUUGUUCUUGCCAAAGGAUGUAUGGUACUGUACCUGCAUAUUCUAAAAAAUGGACAAGGAUAUUAAUAAACGAUCAUACAAAUUAGUGAGAGAAACUUCAUUUGAACUUUAUAAAAACAGAAAUAAGAAAAAGGAAGGCUGGUUACAAUCAAAAAGACAUAGGCAAUAUCAGCACACCUUAUGGAAAAAAAAACACAAGACAAAUCUAUUUAUUUGUUCCACAAGGAACAUGCCCAGAAUCUACUAAUGAAUCUAAAGACUCCAUCAAUGGCUGAGACUUAGGCAGGACCUUCGGAUCCUCUAUACUUGUCGCUAGGCCCCCAACAUGUCAAGACCAGUUUCCUACCUUGGAGAACAUGGACGGGCUGUCAGAUUGUCUAUGAUAAUCUCAUGACAUUGCAUGACCAUUGUGCACUCGGAUAUACACUCAAAGCCUAUAGUCGUCAGAUGAGCAUGAAAAAUGAUGAAUAUGUUAACGUUAUUUCAAGGGAAUACCGGGUCAGCAUUGUUCUUGCCAAAGGAUGUAUGGUACUGUACCUGCAUAUUCUAAAAAAUGGACAAGGAUAUUAAUAAACGAUCAUACAAAUUAGUGAGAGAAACUUCAUUUGAACUUUAUAAAAACAGAAAUAAGAAAAAGGAAGGCUGGUUACAAUCAAAAAGACAUAGGCAAUAUCAGCACACCUUAUGGAAAAAAAAACACAAGACAAAUCUAUUUAUUUGUUCCACAAGGAACAUGCCCAGAAUCUACUAAUGAAUCUAAAGACUCCAUCAAUGGCUGAGACUUAGGCAGGACCUUCGGAUCCUCUAUACUUGUCGCUAGGCCCCCAACAUGUCAAGACCAGUUUCCUACCUUGGAGAACAUGGACGGGCUGUCAGAUUGUCUAUGAUAAUCUCAUGACAUUGCAUGACCAUUGUGCACUCGGAUAUACACUCAAAGCCUAUAGUCGUCAGAUGAGCAUGAAAAAUGAUGAAUAUGUUAACGUUAUUUCAAGGGAAUACCGGGUCAGCAUUGUUCUUGCCAAAGGAUGUAUGGUACUGUACCUGCAUAUUCUAAAAAAUGGACAAGGAUAUUAAUAAACGAUCAUACAAAUUAGUGAGAGAAACUUCAUUUGAACUUUAUAAAAACAGAAAUAAGAAAAAGGAAGGCUGGUUACAAUCAAAAAGACAUAGGCAAUAUCAGGUAUGUUCUUUUUUGUUUUUAAAUAGUUCUGUACAUAAUAAUAAUAAAAAAAAAAACACAGUGCAUCACACUCUAUGAGAUCCAUGUUGACAUUAAACAUGCAUCUGAAAUGAAACUGAUUAUCAAUGCAUUCUGUGAAAAAUAGAACUUGUCUGACCACUGCCUUUCUGUUUAUGAAUUUUUACAUCCUCAAAUCAAAACAGCAGUGCAUUUUCAUGCUUGUCUGACAUUAACCUUAAAAUAAUACAUUAAAAUAUCACUUUAAGGUCUUUGUUAUUUAUCGUGCUUUGUUUUGUGUAUAUUGCAAAUUCUUCUUUUAUACAUCCUUUGAGACCAAAAUUUGUAUAGACUAUGCAAUCUGCUUACUGAUUACAGCUAGCGUGCUCUGAAUAGAGAAACUUUAAUUAUGGACACCAUGUAUAUAAGAACGUGUAAAUUGUCAACAUAAAAUACAAGGUGUCUCAAAUGAAACUUGACAUUUUCCAGUUGGCUAUACCAAAAACUAUUCAUCAGAAAGUUAUGAAAGUUUGGGAAUACCUUAAUGAGAUGAUGGGAAUUUUUUCCAAAACAAAAAUAGUUAGUUUUAAAAACAACCACUAGAGGAAACUUUUCAAGCUGUAAUAGUGGAAUAUUGGCCUGCAAAAUCCUCAGCCCUAGAGCCAAAAAUCACAUGGAUUCAAGUCUAUCUCAAACACUUAGUCUAGCAUGAUUCCAUAACAUUGCUGUCAGACUUUAAGGACACCCUUGCAUGCUAUGUGCUUAACAUUCCAAGGCAUACUCUGCAUGCAACCAUUGAACUUGCUGUUUUACAUUUUUAGAUGGUAGCAGACAAUGGUGGCCAACAUGUUUUGUUCACAUUAGACAUAAUUUGUAUAGCCUAUUGUUAAGUUUUAUAUAAAGCUAUAAUGUGCCCUCUAGUGUAGUGGUGGUUUUUGGAACUAAUUAUUUUUGCUCUUGAAAAAGAUUCCCAUCAUCAUGUUAAAAAAUACAAUUCUCAAACUUUCAUGACUUUCUGAUGAAUAGUUUUUGCUGUAGCCAGUUGAGAAAUGUCAAGUUUAAUUUGGGACACCCUGUAUUUAGAUUCUGAAUAAUAGCAAUGAAUCUAAUUAUUCUUAUAUCAGAAAUAAAUAUACAGUAAACUAAAUAAAUUUCUCUAAUUGCAUAAUUAAUUUUUACAAUUUUACAUAUGUAUUUUAUUGAAUACUUGUUACAAAUAUGAGACCAGUCAAAUGUAAUUUAUUUUUAUAGGAUUUUUAGUAAAUUUAUCAAAGCAUUUUAUUGCAGCUUUUUAUAUUUUUUAUUUAUAUAUAAAA
Centruroides sculpturatus (bark scorpion) is the source of this 3257-nucleotide long non-coding RNA. RefSeq lists it as uncharacterized. Lineage: Eukaryota; Metazoa; Arthropoda; Arachnida; Scorpiones; Buthidae. The transcript is spliced from 3 exons. The record is from RefSeq and is a predicted model, not a curated record.